RNAcentral lists this unclassified non-coding RNA (329 nucleotides) under plant metagenome. RNAcentral describes it as "partial contains 5.8S ribosomal RNA, internal transcribed spacer 2, and large subunit ribosomal RNA". The stretch from base 1 to 105 matches the Rfam family "5.8S ribosomal RNA", at positions 50 to 154 of the family's 154-position model. The record is from RNAcentral.
GAAAUGCGAUAAGUAAUGUGAAUUGCAGAAUUCCGUGAAUCAUCGAAUCUUUGAACGCACAUUGCGCCCUCUGGUAUUCCGGGGGGCAUGCCUGUCCGAGCGUCAUUGCGAACCCCUCAAGCACGGCUUGUGUGAUGGGCCCUCCCGCGUCUUGGUCGUCAAGACGGGCCCGAAAAGCAGUGGCGGCUUCGCGGUUAUCCGAUCAGCCAGAGCGUAUGGGGACUUUCUCUCUGUCACACGCCCGCGGCGCGGACCGACGCCUGUCGACCUUUUUUCAUCUUUUUCUCGGUUGACCUCGGAUCAGGUAGGGAUACCCGCUGAACUUAAGC